AGAGUUUGAUCAUGGCUCAGGACGAACGCUGGCGGCGUGCCUAAUACAUGCAAGUCGAGCGAACCACUUCGGUGGUGAGCGGCGGACGGGUGAGUAACACGUGGGCAAUCUGCCUGUUAGACUGGAAUAACGCCUGGAAACGGGUGCUAAUGCCAGAUAGGCUACUUGGGGGCAUCCUCGAGUAGGGAAAGAUGCGUAUG
This 200-nucleotide ribosomal RNA is filed under the name uncultured bacterium. RNAcentral describes it as "partial 16S ribosomal RNA". It matches the Rfam family "Bacterial small subunit ribosomal RNA", at positions 8 to 217 of the family's 1533-position model. The record is from RNAcentral.